RNAcentral lists this ribosomal RNA (506 nucleotides) under uncultured bacterium. Its description in RNAcentral is "partial 16S ribosomal RNA". It matches the Rfam family "Bacterial small subunit ribosomal RNA", at positions 29 to 523 of the family's 1533-position model. The record is from RNAcentral.
AGUGAACGCUGGCGGUAGGCCUAACACAUGCAAGUCGAACGGCAGCACAGAGGAGCUUGCUCCUUGGGUGGCGAGUGGCGGACGGGUGAGGAAUACAUCUGAAUCUACUCUGUCGAGGGGGAUAACGUAGGGAAACUUACGCUAAUACCGCAUACGACCUACGGGUGAAAGCAGGGGACCUUCGGGCCUUGCGCGAUUGAAUGAGCCGAUGUCGGAUUAGCUAGUUGGCGGGGUAAAGGCCCACCAAGGCGACGAUCCGUAGCUGGUCUGAGAGGAUGAUCAGCCACACUGGAACUGAGACACGGUCCAGACUCCUACGGGAGGCAGCAGUGGGGAAUAUUGGACAAUGGGCGCAAGCCUGAUCCAGCCAUACCGCGUGGGUGAAGAAGGCCUUCGGGUUGUAAAGCCCUUUUGUUGGGAAAGAAAUCCAGCUGGCUAAUACCCGGUUGGGAUGACGGUACCCAAAGAAUAAGCACCGGCUAACUUCGUGCCAGCCGCCGCGGUAA